GUUCUGGUGGUUUGGCGGAGGGGUCACACCCGGCUCCAUUCCGAACCCGGCAGUUAAGCCCUCUGGCGCCGAUGAUACUCGCAAGGGGAAAGUAGGUAGCCGCCAGAACA
RNAcentral lists this ribosomal RNA (110 nucleotides) under Parcubacteria group bacterium GW2011_GWA1_54_88. The record is from RNAcentral. RNAcentral also lists the same sequence under 4 other names.